AAGCCUCAUCCCAGAAAGACCUCU
Molecule: unclassified non-coding RNA, 24 nt
Filed under: Mus musculus (house mouse)
Lineage: Eukaryota; Metazoa; Chordata; Mammalia; Rodentia; Muridae
Description: oocyte_clustered_small_RNA1416
Source: RNAcentral